RNAcentral lists this long non-coding RNA (329 nucleotides) under Capsella rubella. RNAcentral's name for it is "long non-coding RNA (CRUB_LNC003749)". The record is from RNAcentral. Lineage: Eukaryota; Viridiplantae; Streptophyta; Magnoliopsida; Brassicales; Brassicaceae.
UGAUGCAUGUGAACCAAUAGGAUUACGAAGACGUAAGUGUUGGACGAAUGGAGAGGAGACACGUGUUGAAUACUUUAUUGACUUUUAUGAAAUGUUGCCACCGCAAGUUGCGGGGUAGAUUGGGGAUGAUGUUUUGUUUUUGAAAGCAAAAGUGAUUUUAAUUACUUUGUUUUUUUUUUGUUUUUUUGAAAAAGAAACUUAUAAUUAAAUAAAAGUGGUGAAUAAUUUGUGAGUUGUGUGACAAGUGAAUCGUAGCUAUUACGCCAUUAUGAGAUAACUUUGUUUUUUUUAAUGCGAUUUUUUACCUUAAAAUAUUGUCAAGUUCAAAG